AUUGAACGCUGGCGGCAUGCCUUACACAUGCAAGUCGAACGGUAACAGGUUAAGCUGACGAGUGGCGAACGGGUGAGUAAUGUAUCGGAACGUGCCCAGUCGUGGGGGAUAACUGCUCGAAAGAGCAGCUAAUACCGCAUACGACCUGAGGGUGAAAGCGGGGGAUCGCAAGACCUCGCGCGAUUGGAGCGCCCGAUAUCAGAUUAGGUAGUUGGUGAGGUAAAGGCUCACCAAGCCGACGAUCUGUAGCUGGUCUGAGAGGACGACCAGCCACACUGGGACUGAGACACGGCCCAGACUCCUACGGGAGGCAGCAGUGGGGAAUUUUGGACAAUGGGCGCAAGCCUGAUCCAGCCAUGCCGCGUGCGGGAAGAAGGCCUUCGGGUUGUAAACCGCUUUUGUCAGGGAAGAAAAGGUUCUGGCUAAUACCUGGGACUCAUGACGGUACCUGAAGAAUAAGCACCGGCUAACUACGUG
Molecule: ribosomal RNA, 477 nt
Filed under: uncultured bacterium
Lineage: Bacteria
Description: partial 16S ribosomal RNA
Rfam family: Bacterial small subunit ribosomal RNA
Source: RNAcentral